RNAcentral lists this long non-coding RNA (252 nucleotides) under Populus tremula. Its description in RNAcentral is "long non-coding RNA (PTRE_LNC000112)". Lineage: Eukaryota; Viridiplantae; Streptophyta; Magnoliopsida; Malpighiales; Salicaceae. The record is from RNAcentral.
AAAGUUUAUCCAGGGGCUUAUUUACAAACAUUUCAAAACGUCAAGGACCAGAUCAUAAAUAGCAGUUGAUGGGAAAACGGAGCCGUUUCUUGGACAAAACUAUUCACUGUCUUCUUCCUCCGUUUCAUCGGUUUCCAGCCAACGCUUAAGUUUCAGCAUUGAAGGCACUUAAAGGGUCGGUUACACUGGGCAUUUAGGAGGCUUGCCGUUACCACCGAUUGUGGUCUUAUAAAAGGAGGAGUCGCAGCCAAC